GAAACCUGAUCUGAAAAACACAGCUGGGAGCACUCCCUUCGAAAGGACACCUUUCCCCCUCUGGCCUUGAGGCCCAUCCUUUGUGCAGCCACUGAACCCCUUGUCAGGAGUCACGAAACACAAGCUCCAUUCCUUCCUUUAGCUUAGAGAAAAUGAAUAUUCAUUUUCCCAUCUCGAGGUGCAGUGUGGAGGGUGACAAGGGCUCAUUUCAGCUCUUCUGGAUACAACUGCUCUAGUGUGGAGGAGAGCCUUCAAACUGCAUGGUGCUGGAGAGAGCAGACACGAAUUGUGGAUGUUGACAUUGAGACAGAAACAAGACUUUAUUGGGAAUGCCAGUGGUUCAAAGAUGAAAAGGCCUCAAGAGGCUUUUUGUUAUCAAAUUCCACUUACCCUCCCCGUUGUAACUUUCAUCAGAGCUGAAGGGAUGCUGCCAAAAUCUGACUUCACUUCAGAAAGUGCCAGGAUACGCUGCUGGAGUUGCAACAGAAGAAAGACAGUUGGAAGGAGACAAACAUUCAGGUUAUGGCCUGGGAGAAGGGAAGAGGCUGGAGGAGAAAGAAAAUGGUUUUGUGUUGCUUCCCAAACCUUCUCCAAAGUUGCUAGGCAGGUGGGGGAGAUGGGGCCAGCCCCAUCUGGUCCACUUUUUCCAACAAUCUCUUUUCACAUCACUUUUCCUGCCAUGUGGGAAAAUGGGAAAAAUUCCCAACAAAUCACUGCAAAGUCUGCCCUGUGUUUCCUGGCAGCUCCCUCCUCUUCUUCAAAGUAGCCAAGAACCUACAGCCCAACAGCAGCUGAGCAGGUAGUACCAUUCUCCCUGCAUCUUGGAGGUGGACAACACUCACUUUGCUUUGCCCCAUUUUUACCCCAGUGAUUAUGUGAAGAAAUUUUCAGAACAAAGGACCAUUCUUUGCAUUUGUUUGACAAGUGUGCAGAGCAGUGAGAAUCCUCAAAUCCAUAUUCGUCCGUGGCCACAAUAAUGAGGCUAAUAAUAUCUGCAUGACCAUCAUACAAGCCAACAGAUACAGGACGGACAAGAAGGCUUUGUUACCUCCUCCUUCUUGAGUACUGAGAGCAGACCCUUCAGAAUAUCUGGUUUUCCAGGUGCAGAUGCUCACCAUUAUCUCAAAGAUCAGCUGACUUUCUGAUCUCCACUUAGGUUUUGCCCAAAAGGAGCAUCCCAGCUUACUAAUCAUUUCAGGAAAUUGUACCUUAUUGUGUUGGUUCAUCAGUUUUCCCUGAUUGUGCAAUGGAAAUAAAACUGCUUACUCCACCAUGAUUUCUCAAAAAUACUUUCAGUGUCUCCAGCAAAAGCUAUUUGUGUACAAAGCAUUAUUAAUAUUGUGAAAUGAUGAAAAAUCAACAUGUG
RNAcentral lists this long non-coding RNA (1366 nucleotides) under Gallus gallus (chicken). RNAcentral's name for it is "lncRNA (ENSGALG00010018636.1)". The record is from RNAcentral. Lineage: Eukaryota; Metazoa; Chordata; Aves; Galliformes; Phasianidae.